RNAcentral lists this ribosomal RNA (555 nucleotides) under uncultured archaeon. RNAcentral describes it as "bacterial SSU rRNA". It matches the Rfam family "Bacterial small subunit ribosomal RNA", at positions 445 to 998 of the family's 1533-position model. The record is from RNAcentral.
AAGAUAAUACCUAUAGAUAGUGAGAACCGUUACUCGCAAACUAAGCAGCCAGGCUAACUCUGUGCCAGCAGCCGCGGUAAUACAGAGGGUGCAAGCGUUAAUCGGAUUUACUGGGCGUAAAGCGCGCGUAGGCGGCUAAUUAAGUCAAAUGUGAAAUCCCCGAGCUUAACUUGGGAAUUGCAUUCGAUACUGGUUAGCUAGAGUGUGGGAGAGGAUGGUAGAAUUCCAGGUGUAGCGGUGAAAUGCGUAGAGAUCUGGAGGAAUGCCGAUGGCGAAGGCAGCCAUCUGGCCUAACACUGACGCUGAGGUGCGAAAGCAUGGGGAGCAAACAGGAUUAGAUACCCUGGUAGUCCAUGCCGUAAACGAUGUCUACUAGCCGUUGGGGCCUUUGAGGCUUUAGUGGCGCAGCUAACGCGAUAAGUAGACCGCCUGGGGAGUACGGUCGCAAGACUAAAACUCAAAUGAAUUGACGGGGGCCCGCACAAGCGGUGGAGCAUGUGGUUUAAUUCGAUGCAACGCGAAGAACCUUACCUGGCCUUGACAUAGUAAGAACUU